ACAAGGAUUCCCCUAGUAACUGCGAGUGAAGCGGGAAAAGCUCAAAUUUAAAAUCCUUCGGGAAUUGUAAUCUAGAGAAGUGUUUUCGGCCGUUGACCUGGACAAGUCCCUUGGAACAGGGCGUCAUAGAGGGUGAGAAUCCCGUACUUGCCAGUCUCCCAACGUCUAUGUGAUGCACUCUCGAAGAGUCGAGUUGUUUGGGAAUGCAGCUCAAAACGGGUGGUAAACUCCAUCUAAAGCUAAAUAUUGGCGAGAGACCGAUAGCGAACAAGUACCGUGAGGGAAAGAUGAAAAGCACUUUGGAAAGAGAGUUAAACAGUACGUGAAAUUGCUAAAAGGGAAGCGCUUGAAGUCAGUCGCGUCUUCAGAGACUCAGCCUCACGGCGCAUUUCUCUGUCGACGGGUCAACAUCAGUUUUGGCCGCGGGAAAAGGGCUUGAGGAAUGUGGCAGCCUCGGCUGUGUUAUAGCCUCUUGUCGUACACCGCGGCUGGGACUGAGGUCUGCUUAUAGGAUGUUGACGUAAUGGCUUUAAGCGACCCGUCUUGAAACACGGACCAAGGAGUCUAACAUGUCUGCGAGUGUUUGGGUGUCAAACCCAUGCGCGUAAUGAAAGUAAAUGCAGGUGGGAGGCCUCGGCCGCACCAUCGACCGAUCCGGAUCUUUAGUGAUGGAUUUGAGUAAGAGCAUAUAUGUUGGGACCCGAAAGAUGGUGAACUAUGCCUGAAUAGGGCGAAGCCAGAGGAAACUCUGGUGGAGGCUCGUAGCGAUUCUGACGUGCAAAUCGAUCGUCAAAUUUGGGUAUAGGGGCGAAAGACUAAUCGAACCAUC
This 829-nucleotide ribosomal RNA is filed under the name Dacrymyces parastenosporus. RNAcentral's name for it is "eukaryotic LSU rRNA". It matches the Rfam family "Eukaryotic large subunit ribosomal RNA", at positions 68 to 944 of the family's 3401-position model. The record is from RNAcentral. Lineage: Eukaryota; Fungi; Basidiomycota; Dacrymycetes; Dacrymycetales; Dacrymycetaceae.